AUGUCAACAUGAGCUAACUUAGGACUUCAAGACAGAGCAUCCCCCUUAAUAGAACAAUUAAUCUUUUUCCAUGAUCAUACCCUGUUAAUUCUAGUAAUAAUUACUGUAUUAGUUGGAUACUUAAUAACAAUAUUAUUCUUCAAUAACUACACCAAUCGAUAUUUACUACACGGACAAACUAUUGAAGUAAUCUGAACAAUUCUACCAGCUAUUGUAUUAUUAUUUAUUGCUCUACCUUCCCUACGGCUAUUAUACUUAUUAGAUGAAAUUAAUGAGCCUGUUCUAACCCUAAAAUCUAUUGGUCACCAAUGAUACUGAAGAUAUGAAUAUUCUGAUUUUAUUGGCCUAGAUUUUGAUUCCUAUAUAAUUCCCACAAAUGACCUUCCAGAAAAUGGAUUUCGGCUACUAGACGUUGACAAUCGGGUAGUACUUCCCAUAAAUUCACAAAUCCGAGUACUUGUAACCGCAGCAGACGUAAUUCAUUCAUGAACUGUCCCUGCUUUAGGUGUAAAAGUAGAUGGAACUCCUGGUCGAUUAAAUCAAAUUAACUUUUUAAUUAAUCGACCUGGUCUAUUUUUUGGCCAAUGUUCAGAAAUCUGCGGAGCAAAUCACAGAUUCAUACCUAUUGUAAUUGAAAGUGUUCCUGUACAAUAUUUUAUUAAAUGAAUACCU
Molecule: ribosomal RNA, 672 nt
Filed under: Apiocera sp. MVD1495
Lineage: Eukaryota; Metazoa; Arthropoda; Insecta; Diptera; Apioceridae
Description: partial 16S ribosomal RNA
Source: RNAcentral